CCAAGCUCGAGCGCGCCACCACCUCCUGCCGACCGCCCCCCUCCCCGGCACCGCGCGCCGCCACGAACGCCGCAGCCGUUGGCGGCUCCCCCCACGCCCGCCCCUGCUACUCUUCUCCGCUAUCGCCGCCUAGCCCCGCUGCCUCCUCUCCACCGGCGGGAUUCGCCGCUACCGGCCACCACCGCUCACCCCAAGCCCUCACCGUGUCGUCGGCGUGGCUUCGGUGACUCCUCCCCUGCUCCUACCUCGCCCCACAUGUAGCUCGACCCACUGGAUGGAGCUCCUCCGCCCGGUCGCCAUGGCCAUGGGGUGCUCAAGCUCCUCCUCCGAUCAGUUCACCCCCUCCUCUCUCUCUCUCCUCCUCCUCCCUCUCUCUCUCUCUCUAAACUCAGCUCUGUUCUUCUAUUCUAGAUGUGCAGGGAGGAACAUUUCAUGGACAAUGAGGAGAUAUGCAAACCACGCCAUGACCUGAAGGUCCCUGUCAUGAAACCCUCUUCCCCUUUUCCCUGUAUAGUGAUGCUCCAUAUUGCUUGAUAUGAUUUUGGUCAAUCUUCACUUGAGCCGAGCUAGCUGCUGGAGCUGGACUUAUUUUGUGAAAUGGUGUUUCCGACGCCAUGCUGCUGCUGUCCCUCGGUUUGCUCUGCAGACGGGUACUGGAACUACUUGUCGCCAAGGAUGGAGAGCUACAGCGGUGUGCUCGCCAAGGCCAUCGACGUGGGCACCAACCACCUCGUCAAAGGCAUCGUCGUGUGCAGCAAGGCCUACGCCAGCCAGUUCAAAAGGGAGCCAACGUGAUUAGUCCUCAAGCAGCCAGCGGCGCGGGCAAAACGCUUGGGCGACACCGGUGGAGCUGACAGGGAACAGCCAGGCAGGUCCGGUGAAGCGUGGAGGAGUCGACAAGAACCUCAAGAGGGUGCGGAAGUCGUGUGUCAAAGAUGAUGGAGAAGAUGAGCAAGACGAUACUGGGCAUGGUCAUCUUGGAAACAACGAUGGGACCUUGCCGCGACGAGGAAAUCUUUGAGUUACAUUACAUCGUUGGCCUUCUUCCUAUGACAGAGAAAGUUAUGGACACGGUAGAGGCUGUCGAGAGGAGUUCCCUUGCUGCAACCUCCAAUGUUAUUUCGGGUGCAGUGUCCAAGAGGUAAGAACAUGAGCACCUCAAGCCAUAUGAGACCAUUUCUCUGUUCGAAAGUCAUAUCAGCAUUUUGAACGUCGACUUCGCCAGCACGACGGCCUGCUCGCUAUGCUCCCCUCAAGGUAGGCUGUUGAAUAGUCUCUAAAAGUACUUCUAUUUAAUUCUUGACUGUAUGAGCUUAUUCCAUUCAAUUCUUGACUAUAUGUAGAAAAUAUUACCCCGUCCUCUAAAAACUUCGGAAACAAUAACAAAAGCCUUUUGAUAUCUUAGCCCCAUGCUUCUACUUUCUUAAUCCCAGAAUUGAUGAGGCCUUGGUUAGUUUGGUCUCACAGGAAUGUUCAAUUAGACUUUGAAAUACAUCAAUUGUGGAAUACAAGCUAUUGGAAAUUUGCACUUGCCUUAUGAGUGUGGCUCAUAAUUCUUCAGCAGCAUAACAUCAUAUAUGCAUUCGUAACUUGCAUCUGUAAUAUGGAUGGGCCAUGGAUGAUUUUGCCUUUCACCAAACUCAAUAGUAAAUCACGUUAUGAUGUUCUCUGUUUAAACAUGGUUAUGUACCUUCAAGAAUUCUGCAACUAAAAUAAAAACUGAUUACCUCAAGGAGAAAAUAGCAGAAUUUAUGUAUAGUAUGAUGUAAAUUUCACAUAUAUUCUCAAGUUUGCUGAUAGGUCAGCAGUAUUGCCUCGAAAAGCUACUAACGGGUCAUAAGUGCCAAACUGAAGCAGGGGCAAUUCGUGCACUUAUACAAACUGAACACAUUAUAUUUCUGAUGAAACCUUUAACAUUUAAGUUAAUCUUAAAAAUUGGAAAAUGGAUCAGCAAAUUAUUAGUUCAUUGGGAGAACCGAAUCAGAUGAAACUAAUUAUGUUGUGCUGAAUAUUCUGCAGAAGCAAGUAUUUGAGAGUAAAAUUGCAUUUUUCAUCAUCUCUGAACCCUUUUAUUCUCCACAUUUCACAUAAAUAAUGCAUCUUUCAGUUCAGAUGGCAUAGGAAAAACCAUAUGCUAGAAGAUCAUCAUGCAUCGACAUUCCGCAUCAUUGCAAUGGAAGUUAGGUGCAUUUGCUAAACAAAAGAAGCUUCCAUAGUUCCUGUGUUCAUAAUCCGUGUCACUUAAAGAGUGUGCAAUCAUGUCAAAAUUGUUAUGUCCCAAGCCAAGAGUGAAUAGACGAAAUUACUUCUAUUAUUGUGAUGUGUCUGUAGCUGCACAUAGUGUGUGUUUCAGUAGCCAUAGCAAUUCGACAGCACCACGAUCGAGAAAAAAGUGUUUUGCUAUGUGUUGCAUUUGUGGUGGUCUUACUUUAGCAUGCAACUAGCUACUAGGAUUGCAACAAUCGACAAGUACUUCCACGGAUACCAUCAGGACUAAGGUUACUCUCAAUUAAGCAGCUCACCAGAUAACUUAAAGAUUUUUUCCACAUAAAAGAAAAAUAACGAAACUCCUUUUCUAUGUAUGAACCUCAGAAGGCAACUUCUAGUAGACAUACUGCGUAACACUCCUUUUCUACUGUAUUCGCAACUCAUCGUAUUUUUUAUGAUCAAGGGUAAGAAUGUAGAUGUUGUCAACUUGACAUAAAUGCUAUACUUGCUGCAAGAAGAGUGGUGUCAACAUUAUAACAGAGAAGUAGAUGUUUGAAUUAUUCUUGAUUAUUUGUGUUAUGUUAAUAGCUCUUUAAUUUUGUUAGUCAUUCUAAAAAAUUAGGAGAUGGACUUUUGAGGGGGUCUUGGUCCAUGCUUAUUAGGCUAAGGGUGUUUGAUAUUAUUUUUUCUCCCGUUGCAACGCACGGGCCCUUUUCCUAUAAUCCUUAUCUUUAUCUUUACCUACUAAUACUAAUACUAAUACUAAUACUAAUAUACUAAUACUAAUACUAUACUAAUACUAAUACUGAUACUAAUACUAAUACUAUACUAAUACUAAUACUAAUACUAAUUACUAAUUACUAUUAUUAAUACUAAUACUAAUACACACACACACAUAUAUAUAUACACACUAAUAAAGCAGCUAUUGCUUCUGGACGUCUGUCAUUAGUACUUUUGCAAAAAAGCCCUUGAAGUUUACACAAAUCAACCCGCAGUCCAAAUCGAAUCGGUACGAAGGAAAAAAUAAACUCAGCCAUGCUCUGCCUCACGGCGCUCCGCCCCGCCCCACAACACCUCCGGCCAUGCCCCGCGCGCCGCCGGCCGCCUCCCGCCCCGCCCCGCACCGGCUCGCCGCGCGCCGUAGACCGCCUCCUUCCUCUCCCAAUCUGAUCUCCUCCUCACCCGAGACUUUCUUCGCCGUUCACGGCUCCCCUCGUCGCGACCUCGCGUGAGGUAGAGGAUGGGAGGGUGCGGCGCUGGCGGGCCGAUCUGCGCCGCCAGGACUCGCCUGACCCGCGGGACGCUCGAUCCGGUGACGCACCAGUCGCCGGUUGUCGGCCCGGCCGACCAACGAGGAGAUCGCAGCACCCUGCACCAUCAUUCUGCCUCAGCUCAUCCUUCCUCUGCGCACCCGAGCUCCUCGAUGUGUGCUGCCUGGGAGGGCUCGAGCUCGCCACUCGACCAGAGCCACACGGCCAUCCGGUCGUCGUUGCACUCGCCGCCCCCUCUGCUCCUCCACCUCAACUUCGGACGCACGUGUAUUUCUGUGCCCACCCCAUGCUACCAGAGGAAACCGCAGGCCAGUCUCUCUGGAUGACUUUUAUUUUCUGCUGAGGAUCACGAGUUUGCACAGUUUCAUGGUGUCAAAUUACUGCAUAUGUGGUGCUUCUUGUCAAUAGGGAUAGAAUUAGCUGGUUAUAGGUUGUGGAUGUUCUCAGUUAUUUUUUGCACACAAGGUGUUUGUGUGUUUGUCCGAGCCAGUUUCAGUCACAGAUCCUUGAGGUAAACUCCCACAUGAAUACAUCAUGAGAGUAACUCUCCUUCCAUAUGAUUCAAAAAAUGGUAUGAUGGUGGGACUCAAUCGGGUUGCUAGACUAAUGUGGCGUUGGUGCGUGCAUCUGGAUGUGCGUCAGUGUUCAUAGCCAGAGGAAGUGGGUUGUUGCAGGAAGAGGCGGUUAGUAUGAGUAUGUCACGAUUAGGAGAGUUCUCUUGAUCUUUAUCGGAAAAAUUGAUAGUUUCCUUGAUUUGUUUUGGUCUAGACUAGCAAAGCAGGGCACUGAUAUUUGUUUUGUGGUGUAGGAGCUUCAAGACAGCAGGGGCAGCAGGCUUCACUCAACAUAUUCAUCUAUGAUUUUCUCCCCGAUUUUGAAAUUAUUUGGCCCCUAUAGUCCCCUUGAGAAAAAUCAGAGUAUUUAUGGACUAUGCUCUAUGGGUUGACAAAUUUGAUUGCAGGGGCUGGCAAAGUAAGUGCAGUGUCACCGUUGCACAUAUAUUCAGGGCUACAUCAAACUUCAGUCAGAAGAACAUGACCAGGCAGGGUGCUUCAUGCAGUAUUGGGAGUGAGAAAGUUUGGUGUAUAAUCAGUGUCGCCUCCACUCUGCCCCGCCCCUGUGCUUUUUCCUCGAUGGAAAUGCGGGCCACCACGCCGCUCACUUCGCGUGCAACCACUUCAUCUCCAACCUGUCGUUGGAGAGCAUUGCAGACCGAGCGGACAAACGACGAGGUGUAGCAGCACAACCUUGCCUCUUCCCCUUACUCUCCUUCACAAGCGAGCCAAAGACACCCCAAGUUGUGGCACCCAUCUGAGGCCAGCCUUGCUUGGCAUACAUGGCUGCACACAUGUGAUUGGAAACAUGCAUGGAAGCUUGGGCCUAGAUAUGCAAUUAUGCCUUCCUAAGUUUUACUGAUGCAAUUUCUUUUUGAAAGAUCCCUAAAAUCAUUUACGCUUUUGCUCCUGAGAAUUGUUUACUAUUGUGAAUUGUAUCAAUGGUCGAAAUGGUCAAUUAACGACAUAGACCGAGAUAUCAUAAAACCCCUUCAGUAGAUCGACUGAAAUAUGAACAUUCUUGGCCCAAAGUUACAGGAUUGCACCAAUUAAUUGCUAACCUCUUGGUUUUAAUGAUAAUUGUUCUACCAUAUGAUUUUCUUCUACUAGCAUCCCAUCCACAAUGUCAGUUGGAAUUAUAUAUAUAUAGCUUAGACAUUUAGUGUGAUAUAUUCUGCGAGAUGUGUUCAAAUCACUGUAUUUUUCCAUGAUAUUAACAAUUUUUCUUUGAAUGUUUAAGUGAACGUUCUCUAAAAUUUCAUUCUCAGUUAAGUCUGGUCUUUCUUUGGGUAAUUUAUAUAGUAAGGUCUGCAAGAAUUGAAUGCAGAUCCACUAUUCCCCGCCUCUGUAUUUACUGCAAUGCAUAUUUACCUGGAGCUAGCAUCACAUACUGUAUGUCAAGUGCCAAGUCAGUUUUCACUAAAUACAAAUUAAAAUAUAUAUAUGAACCUUUUCAUUAGCUUUGGCUGCACGUUUCUGGAUAAUGUCAAUAUCAAUAUUUGUAAGUACUCUUAUGAACUCAUAUGAUGCAUCUCCCACUAUUUUUUAUCUGCAAGGUAUCUGACAUAGUGUUUGGACAUACUUAUUUCUGGUAGUAACUUUUCCAUUGUGAAACUAUUUCGACUACAGUAGCUUGCGGGCAAUGUGGGCUACUACAAGACCGAGACCUGCAUUAAAAGAUGAUUACAUUUAGGAGUGAAUGGUAAAGAACGUUCUGAUUUUGUUUAAAUUGCAGUAUAUGUUUGAAAAUUAUUUAUUGAUGCUCAAAGCAUAUCCUGUAGAUGAUUAUCUGGAAAAUAGUUCAUCCUGCACAGUUUUCUCGGCAAGCUGGAACUUCCAGUUAUACUGGUUGUAUAUUUAUGGGUUAUAGACUUAUAGUUGAAAUUUUCAAAUGAUUAGGUAUUUUUGCAGUUGUAGUUGGAUAUACAAGUGCCUAAAACUGAAGUCGGCACUUCUUCACUAGAAGCUAUGUUCACUAGCUUGAUUUCUCCUAUGAGAUGUAGAAUUUUUAUUUCCGCUACAUUGUUGUAGUUUCCUUUUUUGCUGUAGCUGCUUAUCUAUCAGAGUAUCUAUGCAUGUGUGGGUUUAUGUUUCAUUAACUGUCCUAUAAAUAAUCUGAAUUUCUUUCAA
Molecule: long non-coding RNA, 6163 nt
Organism: Triticum aestivum (bread wheat)
Lineage: Eukaryota; Viridiplantae; Streptophyta; Magnoliopsida; Poales; Poaceae
Exons: 3
Source: RefSeq, a predicted model, not a curated record